Molecule: ribosomal RNA, 253 nt
Filed under: uncultured bacterium
Lineage: Bacteria
Description: partial 16S ribosomal RNA
Rfam family: Bacterial small subunit ribosomal RNA
Source: RNAcentral
UACGUUGGUGGCGAGCGUUAUCCGGAUUUAUUGGGCGUAAAGGGAACGCAGGCGGUCUUUUAAGUCUGAUGUGAAAGCCUUCGGCUUAACCGGAGUAGUGCAUUGGAAACUGGGAGACUUGAGUGCAGAAGAGGAGAGUGGAACUCCAUGUGUAGCGGUGAAAUGCGUAGAUAUAUGGAAGAACACCAGUGGCGAAAGCGGCUCUCUGGUCUGUAACUGACGCUGAGGUUCGAAAGCGUGGGUAGCAAACAGG